Vicugna pacos (alpaca) is the source of this 602-nucleotide long non-coding RNA. RefSeq lists it as uncharacterized. Lineage: Eukaryota; Metazoa; Chordata; Mammalia; Artiodactyla; Camelidae. The record is from RefSeq and is a predicted model, not a curated record.
CCAGCCGCUCAGGACGGUGGGAUACCGGCGGGGCAGCAACACUGAGGCGGGUGGGAACUCGAAAGCUGGUGCUUCCUGGCGCUGAACUGCUGAGAGAGAGUUGGCUGCCGUCAGCUUCUGCAGGCCGGGCCUGGCUUCCUGAGAAUCUAAGGCGUAAGAAUUGGGGGGGGGGUUAGAAAGCGGGCUGCGGACCCCCUUCCUGAGGCUUUGGUUUGAGCCCUGGCUCAGGCCUUGCUUGUGUUUCCCCACGAGGACGGCUUCUCAGUCUUUCCUGAAGUUGGUGGGGUUUGGACAUUGUUGUUCUUAGUAGUAGUAGUAUUCGUAGUAGUAGUGGUGUUAUUAUUGUUAUUAUUAUUUUGAGGGUCCACUGUGUAUAAGUAUUGGUGCUUCUGCUCAGGGGGCCGUGCAAAACGCCAUGAGUUAGAAGCUGGGGGAAGGAGGGCUUAGAGAUGCUUGAGGUACGUUCUUAAGAAAUAUUGGAGGUUGAGGUGAAAAAUCUGGCUUUGAUAUCUUCAUGGAAGACUGCGUUAUUUCAAUCCUGAAUCUGGUUCAGUUCCCUUACUGACUUAUUACUAUAUUUAAAAAAAAGUUUGUUUAAUUAA